GACGAACGCUGGCGGCGUGGAUUAGGCAUGCAAGUCGAACGGUAUCACCUUUUUCGGGGGUGAGAGAGUGGCGAACUGGUGAGUAACACGUAGGUUAUCUACCCUCAAGACGGGGACAACCCAGGGAAACUUGGGCUAAUACCGGAUGUGAGCAACUUUUAGUUGUUUGAAAGGUGGCGUAAGCUGUCGCUUGGGGAUGAGCCUGCGUCCUAUUAGUUAGUUGGUGAGGUAACGGCUCACCUAGGCAAUGAUAGGUAGGCGGCCUUAACGGGUGGUCGCCCACACUGGUACUGAGACACGGACCAGACUCCUACGGGAGGCAGCAGUGAGGAAUAUUGGUCAAUGGGCGCAAGCCUGAACCAGCCAUCCCGCGUGCAGGAAGACGGCCCUAUGGGUUGUAAACUGCUUUUAGCCGGGAAUAAACACCCGUUUUAUAACGGGCCCGAAGGUACCGGCUGAAUAAGCAUCGGCUAACUCCGUG
RNAcentral lists this ribosomal RNA (481 nucleotides) under uncultured bacterium. RNAcentral describes it as "bacterial SSU rRNA". It matches the Rfam family "Bacterial small subunit ribosomal RNA", at positions 28 to 507 of the family's 1533-position model. The record is from RNAcentral.